GAUGAACGCUGGCGGCGUGCUUAACACAUGCAAGUCGAACGAAGCUGCUUAACUGAUCUUCUUCGGAAUUGACGUUUUGUAGACUGAGUGGCGGACGGGUGAGUAACGCGUGGGUAACCUGCCCUGUACAGGGGGAUAACAGUCAGAAAUGACUGCUAAUACCGCAUAAGACCACAGCACCGCAUGGUGCAGGGGUAAAAACUCCGGUGGUACAGGAUGGACCCGCGUCUGAUUAGCUGGUUGGUGAGGUAACGGCUCACCAAGGCGACGAUCAGUAGCCGGCUUGAGAGAGUGAACGGCCACAUUGGGACUGAGACACGGCCCAAACUCCUACGGGAGGCAGCAGUGGGGAAUAUUGCACAAUGGGGGAAACCCUGAUGCAGCGACGCCGCGUGAGUGAAGAAGUAUCUCGGUAUGUAAAGCUCUAUCAGCAGGGAAGAAAAUGACGGUACCUGACUAAGAAGCCCCGGCUAACUACGUGCCAGCAGCCGCGGUAAUACGUAGGGGGCAAGCGUUAUCCGGAAUUACUGGGUGUAAAGGGCGCGCAGGCGGUAUGGCAAGUCAGAAGUGAAAUCCCUGGGCUCAACUCCGGGACUGCAUUUGAAACUGUCCGUCUUGAGUGCCGGAGAGGUAAGCGGAAUUCCUAGUGUAGCGGUGAAAUGCGUAGAUAUUAGGAGGAACACCAGUGGCGAAGGCGGCUUACUGGACUGUAACUGACGUUGAGGCUCGAAAGCGUGGGG
This 740-nucleotide ribosomal RNA is filed under the name uncultured bacterium. RNAcentral's name for it is "bacterial SSU rRNA". It matches the Rfam family "Bacterial small subunit ribosomal RNA", at positions 28 to 766 of the family's 1533-position model. The record is from RNAcentral.